This is a non-coding RNA of Anas platyrhynchos (mallard), 554 nucleotides long. The record is from RefSeq and is a predicted model, not a curated record. Lineage: Eukaryota; Metazoa; Chordata; Aves; Anseriformes; Anatidae.
UCGCCCCCCGGGGGGCCGGGACUACACUUCCCAGGAGCCCCCGCGCCUCGUCCCCCCCUCCUCUCGCGAGACUUUGCAGGCGCACGCGGGCCGCUCUCCCUUUCCCCGCGCCGACAUGGCGGCCGCGCAGCGCUCGGUGGCAGCACGUUGUCGAGCAAGCAUAAAAAUGCGCCUUGCACUCACCUUUCGGGGAAGCUGAUUCUUCCACUCCGUUGGCAGCAGACCUGCACCAUCAGCACAUGGGAGGAAAACAUGCUGUAGAAUCCUGGGUUGCGUCUUCCCCAAGGACAGCUUUGGCAAGCAGGCAGCUCUGAAGUCGGGCGUCGAACUGGCGGCUGACAGCUGCGUUCUGCUGGGAGUUCCAUGCUUUAUUUAACAGAACCCGAAUUUGUUUGCAGAUCAAUAAUGGUCGGUGACGGGCUGAACCGGCAGGCUUGACGACAGUGGACUGCCUCCGUCCUUAAGUACAGGACCUGCUCUGCAGCUGGCUGGAGGAAGGAGUGGUUCCCUGCAGUCUUCUAUUCCAGAAUAAAACACAAAAGUAUUGAAACUGG